GGCCACUGAGCGGAGGGGACGGGCCGGUUCUACUACCAGUGACGGGGGUCACCCUGAGCUGAGCUGGACGCUGAGCACUGAGCUGGACGCCAACCGACGCACAGGGGAUGGUCUGGGGUGAUAGUGUUUGCUGUGGUAGUGUGGGUGUGCACUGUGCAACAUACAUGACUUACCAUAUAUGGACAUGAAAAGGGGGUUGUGCGUUGCUACGCCACAACAGUAAGGAAUCACAGACACUGACGUGUUGUGAGAUGUUGAACGCUCGAGGUUUUCGGUUCUCUGAACAUGCUUGCUACCGUGAAAUGUUUAAACACUUUGCCGCUAACGGUUUCUGAGUAUUUCGGGCCCGCUUAGAUGUUGAAUUAUGUUGCAAUCUUACGUGCUAGUGGAGAAACUUUGUCGAUGACGGACCCUGUCGAUUGAACGCAUGUUGGCGGCUGUAAAUCUAGCUGACAACCUCCCUUGACUGUGAUUGGUCGUCUGGCGAGUCAUGGGAGCUCAUUGGCGGAUCGACGGCCAAUCAGACCGCUGGACCUUUGUCGGGCUGAUUCACGCAUGGCACGGUUGUUUUGUUUGCUGUGUUACACUGUGCUACUUUGAGGUGUUGACUGACUCAUCCACCCACCGCUGUGGAUGUGUAUCCAUCCCAGGGAAUGAAAAGGGCGGGCUUUCGGGCUAAUUUCGAAACACGACAUUGGAUGAGAGCAGUCGUUUUUUUAUAUGAGGCACGAUGGCAUUAUAUUAUACACAGCUAUUUAUUAAACGUGUGCUGUUCUUAUGGUUUUAAUACAUCAGGUAUAGCCGGUCCCGUAGCUCAGUUGGUAGAGCGUUGGACUUCGCGUGGUGAGAUCACGCGCUCCUGGUUAUAACAGUCCGGGUUCGAAGCGCGACGGGCGCUUGACAUUUAUGGGCCGAUCCUGACAGGUAUGGUUGCGGUUGGUGGCAGGCCGCUGUCAGGCGAAGUCAGUGAGGGGACGGGCCGUGCGCGGCUAUGUGCGAACGUUAAACUUGAUCUUUGGACCCUAAAUUCUGCCACAGAACUGGAAUUGCACGACUGAGGCUAGAGGGCGGGGUCACCGCCAAGUCACCGCAACAAGCUUCGCUUGGCGGUGGCUCUGUCCUUGUGAAUCCUUCCUAUCAAAAGGUUCGGACUAAUUUUUUUUUUUUUUAAUAGUUGCCACCGUAAUGCUUCGAUUUUUCACUUGCUGUGUUGAUGUGAAUUGAAGUGGUCCAACCCAAGUCCAACCCACACCCAAGAUUACUUUACUAAUACCCACACAAAUCAUUUAUAAAUACGCCACCAAUCAUGCUAGGUGGUGAAGGAAAACCUUUGCAGCAUAAUAUGGAGGCCGUGUGAUCGUCUGCUGCGCAGCUUUUGUACCAGUUCCUUCAGUCGUGAGCAAGUCGUGAGUCACUGAACUCAAACUCACUGAAUGCUAUUUCAAUUUGUUAUGGUAGGGCAAGGCCCUAUAUGGUAGGGUAGGUAGGUGCUAGGUUCAUGAAGAUGUUAUUUUCAUUCUGAAUGAUUCAGCCUGAAAUAAAAUGUAGCUACCAACCAGUUUAUAGGAAUUAGGAUGUUUAUGUUAGUGACUGUGACUUUCUUUUUUGAUGCUUGGAAGGAUAAGGUAAAAAUCGUGUCUCCUUGCAGGACGAACAAAAUGAUGGCAUUUAUCAUUUUUAGCGACCUUCCACUUCCGUACAAUGAAGCAUGCCACCAGGUCUGCUAUCAAGGAGCCUGCACAAACUGAAAGACUGGCAUAUCUGGCUGGAGGGCUCAGGGGACGGUGACCGACUGUCAGCGAUGUCGGCCGCCCCCGACAUGGCCGGCGCGCUGAAGGAGAAGAAGCUCUCCUCGACCUCGCUGAUGGUCGGAGACGGCGGCCGCACCAAGACUGUCACCGUCAAGGUCGACGAGAACAAGCCCAAGCCGACCACCAAGAAAAACAAGCCCAUUCAGGCCGACCUCGACGUGGCCAAAGAGUUUCUCCGGUGUCGCGAUGAGGGAGCGCAUCGACUCGACCUCAGCAAGGCGAACAUUGCCCACCUGCCGGCCUCCGUACGCGAACUCACCGACCUACACGAGCUGUACCUGUACGGCAACAAGCUGACCACGGUGCCCGCCGAGCUGGGCUGUCUCACCAGCCUGCAGACGCUGGCACUCAACGAGAACUCACUGACGCAGCUGCCGGACGCGCUGGCGCACCUCACCUCACUCCGGGUGCUCGACCUGAGGCACAACAAGCUCAGCGAGAUUCCCGAUGUUGUUUACAAGCUAACAAAUCUUACUACGCUGUUUUUGAGGUUCAACAGGAUAAAAGUGGUCGGCGAUGACAUUCAAAACCUUGUGAACCUCACGAUGCUCAGUCUGCGUGAGAACAAGAUUCGCGAGCUGACGCCGGGCGUGGGCCGGCUGGUGAAGCUGGUCACCUUCGACAUCUCGCACAACCACCUGGAGCACCUGCCCGAGGCGAUCGGCAACUGCGUGCGCCUGUCUACCCUGGACCUGCAGCACAACGAGCUGAUCGACAUUCCUGAGACGAUCGGAAACCUCCGCGCACUCACCCGGCUCGAGCUCAGGUACAACCGUCUGACGGAGCUGCCUCGCUCGCUGGCCAAGUGUGUGCACAUGGAGCAAUACAAUAUGGAGGGCAACAGCGUGGCGCGCCUGCCGGACGGCCUGCUGUCGGCGCUCAACAGCCUGACCAGCGUCACGCUCGCCAGGAACUGCUUCACCAGCUUCCCGGUCGGCGGACCGGCCCAGUUCACGAACGUUGACGCUAUAAACAUGGAACACAACCAGAUCGACAAGAUCCCGUACGGCAUCUUCUCGCGGGCGCGUCACCUGACCAAGCUGAACAUGAAGGACAACCUGCUGACCUCUCUGCCGAUGGACAUCGGGACGUGGGAGCAUAUGGUGGAGCUGAACCUGGGCACCAACCAGCUGACCAAGGUGCCGGACGACAUCCAGCACCUGCAGAGUCUCGAGGUGCUCAUCCUCUCCAAUAACCUACUCAGGCGCCUGCCGCCGACGCUGGGCAAUCUCCGUAAGCUGCGCCUGCUCGAUCUGGAGGAGAACCGUCUGGAGACUCUGCCCAGUGAGAUCGGCUACCUGCGGGAGCUGCAGCGGCUGGUACUGCAGAGCAACUGCCUCACGGCGCUGCCCAGAGCUAUAGGUCUUCUAUCGAACCUCACCUACCUGAGCGCCGGCGAGAACAACCUAUCGCACAUCGUGGAGGAGAUCGGUAACCUCGAGUCGCUCGAGUCUCUCUACAUUAACGACAACCCGGGCCUGCACGGACUGCCGUACGAGCUGGUGCUCUGCUCCAGUCUGCAGCUGCUGAGCCUGGAGAACUGUCCGCUAACGCUGAUACCGCCCGAGAUUGUCGCCGCCGGACCCAGUCUGGUCAUACAGUUUCUCAAGAUGCAGGGCCCGUACCGGACCAUGUGACGGUCGGAGUCGGCCGCGCCCGUCGGCGGCGCCUCCUCCUCUCAAUGGCCCGGUGCGGCGUCCCCCUGUCUCUGCUGAUGACGUCUCUGGUACUGAUCGCCCAGCUGACUCCCGGAGCCGCACGGACACGACGCAGCGCCAGCUGCAAGGCCUGCACCGACCUCGUCGGAAAGUUCCAGGUUUGUUCGGGGCCGCAGGACUGUCCACUGAACACCUACUGCACCACGACGGGACUGGGAGACGGUCAGCAGCGCUGCUUCCCGGCCAAAAAGCCCGGCGGCACCUGCCUCGAAGACCGAGAGUGCCUCUCUGGCAGCUACUGUAACCAGCCGGCCUGUGGCGGCAUCUUCGACCCCGUGUGCUUCACCUACGUGUGCGGCGCGGUGAGCGCCUCUGCCGGCAUCAGUCUGGCGCAGGCGGCCGGCCUCAGCUCCGGGGACGUCCUUCCCGAGCUGGGAGGACUCUUCCAGCAGACGUCACGCUUUGGGUGAGACGGGAGAACUGCUGAAGACGUCAUGACCGGGGACGAGGAAUUAGAAGGGAAACCUUCAGCAGCCAUCAAUACAGCUAACCCUUCAGCAGACGUAACCGAUUGAGCGAAUAGCCAGACUUCGGACGAUCUACCGUUGAUCGACGAUUGAUCUACUAGUUUGCCAUCAAGCCAUUUGCCAGCCUUGCCGUCUGCUAAUCCAGGGCGCUUCUUAGGUUUUCCUUUACCUUUGUCUUCUAUGAACAAGACACUGACAGGGUGCUUGGUUGGAAGGAGCGUUUGACUGAAGUGUCUGCCGAUGUCCAAGUGCUCCGGACUGCGACCGUCAAACUGAGCCAGUGAAGCGUAGUGGAAAACAUUUGUUGCCUGCUGACUGUUGUGUGACAUUGCAAUUGCACCCGCCCGGGACAACGAUCUAGGUAACUUGAGAUACUUUUAACAUGACACUGGAAAAAGACAUGCUCCGAAAUUAGUCAGGUUUCGUAUAACUGGCGUUUCAUCAUUAGCUGUUUGUGUUUUAGUGAACACAUCCAUGUUCUGUACCUGACUCGUUUUAUCGCGUUAUUCCUUGACGUGGCAAAAGGGGCCACGUCAUAUGACAUGACAAUGAUUGUGAAAUGCUGAUGUUAUUUAUUAUUUAUUACAAAGAUGACAUGGUUUGUGGCAAUACACAAAAUUGCCAAUGAA
Molecule: RNA transcript, 4625 nt
Organism: Amphibalanus amphitrite
Lineage: Eukaryota; Metazoa; Arthropoda; Thecostraca; Balanomorpha; Balanidae
Gene name: leucine-rich repeat protein soc-2 homolog
Exons: 13
Source: RefSeq, a predicted model, not a curated record